RNAcentral lists this long non-coding RNA (270 nucleotides) under Nicotiana benthamiana. RNAcentral's name for it is "long non-coding RNA (NBEN_LNC026532)". The record is from RNAcentral. Lineage: Eukaryota; Viridiplantae; Streptophyta; Magnoliopsida; Solanales; Solanaceae.
CUAAAUAUAUAUACACCCAUCAUGGCUUUGAUACCAAGGGGGAACAGGACCAAAGAUUAAAAAUAUGAAAGCAGUAAAUCAGAGUAUAAAACAGUAAAGACUUACAAAAGCUUUAUUCCAUAUUCAAAGGCGAAUUACAAGGUGAGAAAGAUGAUUACAGGAGAGAGAGAGAGUGCCCGGGCAAAAAUUGAAACUAGUGGACGAAUUAAAGGAAUGAAGCUCGGCAUGGCAGAGGGAAAUCUCACUAGCGCGGGCAUUAGCACGCCCAUG